UAGGGAAUCUUCGGCAAUGGGGGGAGCCCUGACCGAGCAACGCCGCGUGAGUGAAGAAGGUUUUCGGAUCGUAAAGCUCUGUUGUUAAGGAAGAACGAGUGUGAGAAUGGAAAGUUCAUGCUGUGACGGUACUUAACCAGAAAGGGACGGCUAACUACGUGCCAGCAGCCGCGGUAAUACGUAGGUCCCGAGCGUUGUCCGGAUUUAUUGGGCGUAAAGCGAGCGCAGGCGGUUAGAAAAGUCUGAAGUGAAAGGCAGUGGCUCAACCAUUGUAGGCUUUGGAAACUGUUUAACUUGAGUGCAGAAGGGGAGAGUGGAAUUCCAUGUGUAGCGGUGAAAUGCGUAGAUAUAUGGAGGAACACCGGUGGCGAAAGCGGCUCUCUGGUCUGUAACUGACGCUGAGGCUCGAAAGCGUGGGGAGCGAACAGG
This 429-nucleotide ribosomal RNA is filed under the name Bacteroidota bacterium. RNAcentral's name for it is "Bacteroidetes bacterium partial 16S ribosomal RNA". It matches the Rfam family "Bacterial small subunit ribosomal RNA", at positions 355 to 776 of the family's 1533-position model. Lineage: Bacteria; Pseudomonadati; Bacteroidota. The record is from RNAcentral.